GGCUGGUCAUAUGGUAAUGAGUUAUCACAAUUUAUUAACACUGAUGGCAUUAAAGUUGGUAUACAACCCCCCACUGCUAAAUUUGACUGAAAG
RNAcentral lists this non-coding RNA (93 nucleotides) under Gorilla gorilla gorilla (western lowland gorilla). The record is from RNAcentral. Lineage: Eukaryota; Metazoa; Chordata; Mammalia; Primates; Hominidae.